AAUGAAUCAAAACUUUCAACAACGGAUCUCUGGGUUCUGGCAUCGAUGAAGAACGCAGCGAAAUGCGAUAAGUAAUGUGAAUUGCAAAAUUCAGGGAAUCAUCGAAUCUUUGAACGCACAUUGCGCCCGCCAAAAUUCUGGGGGGCAUGCCUGUUCGAG
Molecule: ribosomal RNA, 159 nt
Filed under: Helarctos malayanus (Malayan sun bear)
Lineage: Eukaryota; Metazoa; Chordata; Mammalia; Carnivora; Ursidae
Description: 5.8S ribosomal RNA
Rfam family: 5.8S ribosomal RNA
About the family: 5.8S ribosomal RNA (5.8S rRNA) is a component of the large subunit of the eukaryotic ribosome. It is transcribed by RNA polymerase I as part of the 45S precursor that also contains 18S and 28S rRNA.
Source: RNAcentral